UUUAACGGCCGCGGUAUUUUAACCGUGCAAAGGUAGCGCAAUCACUUGUCCUUUAAAUGGGGACCUGUAUGAAUGGCUAAACGAGGGCUUAACUGUCUCCCUUUUCCAGUCAGUGAAAUUGAUCUAUCCGUGCAGAAGCGGAUAUUUACCUACAAGACGAGAAGACCCUUUGGAGCUUUAGGUACAAGACUUAAUCAUGUAAAACAAAUUUAAAUGAAACUUUUUAACCUAGUGAACUAUAAGACUUUACCUUCGGUUGGGGCGACCACGGAGAAAAAACAGCCUCCCAGUGGAAGGGGUAUUUCCCAAAACCAAGAUACACACAUCCAAGUAACAGAACAUCUGACCAAACAUGACCCGGUUAAAACCGAUCAACGAACCAAGUUACCCAAGGGAUAACAGCGCAAUCCCCUCCCAGAGCCCGUAUCGACGAGGGGGUUUACGACCUCGAUGUUGGAUCAGG
RNAcentral lists this ribosomal RNA (463 nucleotides) under Rasbora kalbarensis (Kalbar rasbora). RNAcentral's name for it is "partial 16S ribosomal RNA". It matches the Rfam family "Bacterial large subunit ribosomal RNA", at positions 1923 to 2541 of the family's 2925-position model. Lineage: Eukaryota; Metazoa; Chordata; Actinopteri; Cypriniformes; Danionidae. The record is from RNAcentral.